GAUGAACGCUAGCGGCAGGCCUAACACAUGCAAGUCGAGGGGUAACGUGAGUGCUUGCACUUGACGACGACCGGCGCACGGGUGCGGAACGCGUAUGGAACCUACCUUUAUCAGGGGGAUAGCCCAUGGAAACGUGGAUUAAUACCCCAUAGUAUUAUUUCAUUGCAUGAUGAUUUAAUUAAAGAAUUUCGGAUAGAGAUGGCCAUGCGUAUCAUUAGCUAGUAGGCGAGGUAACGGCUCACCUAGGCGACGAUGAUUAGGGGUCCUGAGAGGGAGAUCCCCCACACUGGUACUGAGACACGGACCAGACUCCUACGGGAGGCAGCAGUGAGGAAUAUUGGGCAAUGGAGGCAACUCUGACCCAGCCAUGCCGCGUGCAGGAAGACGGCCCUAUGGGUUGUAAACUGCUUUUAUACAGGAAGAACACCACCCACGUGUGGGUGACUGACGGUACUGUAAGAAUAAGGACCGGCUAACUCCGUGCCGGCGGA
Molecule: ribosomal RNA, 491 nt
Filed under: uncultured bacterium
Lineage: Bacteria
Description: bacterial SSU rRNA
Rfam family: Bacterial small subunit ribosomal RNA
Source: RNAcentral